UCACCGGGAUGAGGGUGAAGGCCAGGAAGCCAAGGAAGUUCGGAAGAAUGAACGUCCACCCGAUCAGCGUGUUGCGCCGGGCCUGCUUCCUGUUGCCCCGGCUGUGAACCGGGGCAACAGGCUUGGUAACGGUUUCGGUU
Molecule: small RNA, 140 nt
Filed under: Paenarthrobacter ilicis
Lineage: Bacteria; Bacillati; Actinomycetota; Actinomycetes; Micrococcales; Micrococcaceae
Description: sRNA sX6
Source: RNAcentral